CACGUAGGCGGCUUUGCAAGUCUGACGUGAAAUCCCUCAGCUCAACUGAGGAAGUGCAUCGGAAACUGCAAGGCUUGAGUACUGAAGAGGAUCGCGGAAUUCCCGGUGUAGAGGUGAAAUUCGUAGAUAUCGGGAGGAACACCAGUGGCGAAGGCGGCGAUCUGGGCAGAUACUGACGCUGAGGUGCGAAAGCGUGGGGAGCAAAC
This 206-nucleotide ribosomal RNA is filed under the name uncultured bacterium. RNAcentral describes it as "partial 16S ribosomal RNA". It matches the Rfam family "Bacterial small subunit ribosomal RNA", at positions 568 to 773 of the family's 1533-position model. The record is from RNAcentral.